GUGGAUUAGAUACCGUGGUAGUCCACGCCGUAAACGAUGUCAACUAGCCGUUGGGAACCUUGAGUUCUUAGUGGCGCAGCUAACGCAUUAAGUUGACCGCCUGGGGAGUACGGCCGCAAGGUUAAAACUCAAAUGAAUUGACGGGGGCCCGCACAAGCGGUGGAGCAUGUGGUUUAAUUCGAAGCAACGCGAAGAACCUUACCAGGCCUUGACAUGCAGAGAACUUUCCAGAGAUGGAUUGGUGCCUUCGGGAACUCUGACACAGGUGCUGCACGGCCGUCGACAGCU
This 288-nucleotide ribosomal RNA is filed under the name uncultured bacterium. RNAcentral describes it as "partial 16S ribosomal RNA". It matches the Rfam family "Bacterial small subunit ribosomal RNA", at positions 773 to 1060 of the family's 1533-position model. The record is from RNAcentral.